GUGGGGAAUUUUGGACAAUGGGCGCAAGCCUGAUCCAGCAAUGCCGCGUGCAGGAAGAAGGCCUUCGGGUUGUAAACUGCUUUUGUACGGAACGAAACGGUCCGGGUUAAUACCCUGGGCUAAUGACGGUACCGUAAGAAUAAGCACCGGCUAACUACGUGCCAGCAGCCGCGGUAAUACGUAGGGUGCAAGCGUUAAUCGGAAUUACUGGGCGUAAAGCGUGCGCAGGCGGUUUUGUAAGACAGGCGUGAAAUCCCCGGGCUCAGCCUGGGAAUUGCGCUUGUGACUGCAAGGCUGGAGUGCGGCAGAGGGGGAUGGAAUUCCGCGUGUAGCAGUGAAAUGCGUAGAUAUGCGGAGGAACACCGAUGGCGAAGGCAAUCCCCUGGGCCUGCACUGACGCUCAUGCACGAAAGCGUGGGGAGCAAACAGGAUUAGAUACCCGAGUAGUCC
RNAcentral lists this ribosomal RNA (450 nucleotides) under uncultured bacterium. RNAcentral describes it as "partial 16S ribosomal RNA". It matches the Rfam family "Bacterial small subunit ribosomal RNA", at positions 354 to 796 of the family's 1533-position model. The record is from RNAcentral.